CGGCAUUAAGGAGAUAGUUUAGGGCACUCGGCAUAGCUUUCACCUGGUGAAAUGUCAUGGCAUUAAGGAGAUAGUGUGUCUUCCUGUCUGUUUCCUACUUCCAGGUGUCUCGUCAUGUCUGUUUCCUACUUCCAG
Long non-coding RNA from Oncorhynchus keta (chum salmon), 135 nucleotides. RefSeq lists it as uncharacterized. The record is from RefSeq and is a predicted model, not a curated record. NCBI's taxonomy places the organism in Eukaryota, Metazoa, Chordata, Actinopteri, Salmoniformes, Salmonidae. The transcript is spliced from 3 exons.